CAUCGCCACGGUAAUACAGAGGGUGCGAGCGUUAAUCGGAUUUACUGGGCGUAAAGCGUGCGUAGGCGGCUUCUUAAGUCGGAUGUGAAAUCCCUGAGCUUAACUUAGGAAUUGCAUUCGAUACUGGGAAGCUAGAGUAUGGGAGAGGAUGGUAGAAUUCCAGGUGUAGCGGUGAAAUGCGUAGAGAUCUGGAGGAAUACCGAUGGCGAAGGCAGCCAUCUGGCCUAAUACUGACGCUGAGGUACGAAAGCAUGGGGAGCAAACAGGAUUAGAUACCCGUGUAGUCCCUGUCUCUUAUACA
RNAcentral lists this ribosomal RNA (301 nucleotides) under uncultured bacterium. RNAcentral describes it as "partial 16S ribosomal RNA". It matches the Rfam family "Bacterial small subunit ribosomal RNA", at positions 510 to 808 of the family's 1533-position model. The record is from RNAcentral.